Molecule: ribosomal RNA, 465 nt
Filed under: uncultured bacterium
Lineage: Bacteria
Description: partial 16S ribosomal RNA
Rfam family: Bacterial small subunit ribosomal RNA
Source: RNAcentral
CCUACGGGAGGCAGCAGUGGGGAAUAUUGCGCAAUGGGCGAAAGCCUGACGCAGCGACGCCGCGUGAGGGAUGAAGGUCUUCGGAUCGUAAACCUCUGUCAGCAGGGAAGAACGGUCACUGUGCUAAUCAGCAGUGAAUUGACGGUACCUGCAAAGGAAGCACCGGCUAACUCCGUGCCAGCAGCCGCGGUAAUACGGAGGGUGCGAGUGUUAAUCGGAAUUACUGGGCGUAAAGCGCUCGUAGGCGGUAUGUCAAGUCAAGGGUGAAAUCCCCGCGCUCAACGUGGGAACUGCCUUUGAAACUGGCAAACUGGAGUGUGUGAGAGGAUAGUGGAAUUCCAGGUGUAGGAGUGAAAGCCGUAGAUAUCUGGAGGAACAUCAGUGGCGAAGGCGACUAUCUGGCACAUAACUGACGCUGAGGAGCGAAAGCGUGGGUAGCAAACAGGAUUAGAUACCCUAGUAGUC